AAAAUACUCCCUCUGUCCGGAAAUACUUGUCGGAGAAAUGGAUAAAAGUUUAUGUAUUUUGAACUAAAACACGUCUAGAUACAUACAUUUCUCCGACAAGUAUUUUCAGACGGAGGGAGUACUUA
This is a non-coding RNA of Triticum aestivum (bread wheat), 125 nucleotides long. NCBI's taxonomy places the organism in Eukaryota, Viridiplantae, Streptophyta, Magnoliopsida, Poales, Poaceae. The record is from Rfam.